This 216-nucleotide ribosomal RNA is filed under the name Glomeromycotina sp. RNAcentral's name for it is "partial small subunit ribosomal RNA". The stretch from base 75 to 216 matches the Rfam family "Eukaryotic small subunit ribosomal RNA", at positions 721 to 864 of the family's 1831-position model. Lineage: Eukaryota; Fungi; Glomeromycota. The record is from RNAcentral.
GGGUCAGUAGGUUGGUCGUGCCACCGGUACGUACUGGUCUCACUGAUUCCUCCUUCCUGAAGAACCGUAACGCCAUUAAUUUGGUGUUGCGGGGAAACAGGGCUGUUACUUUGAAAAAAUUAGAGUGUUUAAAGCAAGCUAACGCUUGAAUACAUUAGCAUGGAAUAAUGAAAUAGGACGAUCGAUCCUAUUUUGUUGGUUUCUAGGAUUGACGUA